GACGAACGCUGGCGGCGUGCUUAACACAUGCAAGUCGAGCGAUGAAGUUCCUUCGGGAAUGGAUUAGCGGCGGACGGGUGAGUAACACGUGGGUAACCUGCCUCAUAGAGGGGAAUAGCCUUUCGAAAGGAAGAUUAAUACCGCAUAAGAUUGUAGCUUCGCAUGAAACAGCAAUUAAAGGAGUAAUCCGCUAUGAGAUGGACCCGCGUCGCAUUAGCUAGUUGGUGAGGUAACGGCUCACCAAGGCGACGAUGCGUAGCCGACCUGAGAGGGGGAGCGGCCACAUUGGGCCUGAGACGCGGCCCAGACUCCUACGGGGGGCAGCAGUGGGGAAUAUUGCACAAUGGGGGAAACCCUGAUGCAGCAACGCCGCGUGAGUGAUGACGGUCUUCGGAUUGUAAAACUCUGUCUUCAGGGACGAUAAUGACGGUACCUGAGGAGGAAGCCACGGCUAACUACGUGCCAGCCGCCGCCGUAA
Molecule: ribosomal RNA, 478 nt
Filed under: uncultured bacterium
Lineage: Bacteria
Description: partial 16S ribosomal RNA
Rfam family: Bacterial small subunit ribosomal RNA
Source: RNAcentral